AUAAAAAGAAUUACUCUAUAAAUAAGUAUGUUUAUUUUUUGUUUAUCACUUUAUUUUUUCUCCUAAAUGUAAUAUUAUUAAAGUAUAACUCAACUUUAUUAUAGAAUCACUCUAUUUUAAAGAAGAAAAGUAGAGUAAACUAUUGAAGAUAGUCUUGGGGGCGUGAACAUGCAUAAACCAUUAAUAAGAUGCUUUUGUUCGUUAACUCAGCUGUAUUGGUCUAGUGGAAAAAACGAUUUCAUAUGCAAUUUUUAUUUUAGGUUUGAUUCGCCUUGGCCAUCUCGUCGUGCCAUUUAGAUGGAUUAGUUGCAUAUUCAGAUACAAAGUCUCGUGAAAUUAGUCUUUUAGUUCGUUAUUAUCAUGUAGAUUAACUACAGUGUCUGUGUGUACAUUUGGCUACGACAAAUAAUUAAUUGCAUGUUGUUGUCAUUUGUUGUAUAUUUAUUGUGGGUGUAGAUUUAUGUAUUCAACGUGUGUGUUUAUUAGAGAGCCAAUGGCUGAGUAUAUAUACAACAACGUAACUCAAUCUCAACAAGGAGAUUUGUCCUUAUCUAGCUAAGAACCUGGACUUAUCAACACGUCCGUAAUUAUCCUAACACAUAUUCAAUAUAUAUCCCCAAUACUCCCCCUCAAGUUGGAGCAUGUGGAUUCACUACGCCCAACUUGGACAUGAUGGUUUGAAAAGGAACCCGGCCCAGCGCUUUUGUCAAAAUGUCAGCGACUUGUGAAUCAGACCGAAUAUGUUGCGUGACAAUGAGACCAGAAGUUACAGCAUCCCGUACUGAGUGACAAUCACGUUCCAAGUGUUUUGUUCUCUCAUGAAACACCGGGUUCGCUGCGAUAUGUAUAGCAGCCUUACUGUCACAGAAGAAUCUCGUAGGCCCAGGUUGUUCCGCGCCAAGUUCUUUGAGGAGACGACGUAUCCACUUUGUUGUUUUUAAUGCAACACCCAUUGACCGGUACUCAGCCUCUGCUGAAGACAUUGCAACAGUGUCUUGUUUCUUUGUUUUCCAAGCAAUGGGAGAGCCUCCAAGCAUGACAACGCACGCACUUAAGGAACGACGAGACAGAGGACAGCCACUCCAGUCUGCAUCGCAAUAGAUAGUAAGCGUGAGAUCGUUGGUUGAGUGAAGAAGAAUUCCCUGUCCUGGUGUCCCUUUCAAAUACCGUACAACUCUGAGCGCCGCAGACCAAUGUUCUUCUGUAGGAGCUUGCAUAAACUGAGACAGCAAAUGAACUGAAUAAGACAACUCCGGACGGGUGUUCAACAGAUAAAUUAAACGUCCUAACAGACGUCGGUACUUCUUUGGAUCAGUAAGGAGUGGAGCAGUAGACUUGGCGAGCUGAUGAUUCUGUUCUAAAGGAGUCGACGCAGGUUUGGAACCGAGGUUGCCCGUAUCUGCAAUGAUAUCAAGGGCAUACUUGCGCUGAGAGAGAAAGAUACCUUCAGGACCUCUGCUAACUUCGAUCCCAAGAAAAUAUUUAAGUUUCCCUAAGUCUUUCAUGGCGAAGCACUUGCUCAGAUAUUCUUUGAAGCGUCGCACCAUAUGGGAGUUGUUGCCACAAAUGAGUAGAUCGUCAACGUAGACAAGGACCCGAAGCUCCACACCAUUACGCUCAUAGGAAAACAGAGAAUAGUCUUCGUAGGACUGAAUAAAACCAAAACGUAUUAAGGCAUCCGAGAGCUUCUUAAACCAACAGCGCGGAGCCUGCUUCAAGCCGUACAGAGACUUUCUUAAUUUACAUACUUUGUUAGGAUGGGAGUGUCGAAAACCUGGAGGGAGUUUCAUAUAUACUUCUUCUUCGAGAUCACCAUGAAGAAAAGCAUUUUGGACAUCCAUUUGAUACACUUCCCAUUGUUUGGCCGAAACUAGUCGCAACAAAGCUCGAACUGUUGUCAUUUUAACCACCGGAGCAAAUGUUUCUGUAUAGUCUUCACCCUCAAUCUGACUCUUGCCAUUUACUACCAAGCGUGCCUUAUGUCUCUCAACUGUGCCAUCUGCAUUGUAUUUGAUUUUGAAAAUCCAUAGACAUCCAAUCGCUUCUUUGCCAGGUGGUAAAUCAGUGAUAUCCCAUGUGUCACUGUCCUCGAGAGCUACUACUUCUUUUCCCACAGCCUUACGCCAAACAUCAAGUUUCAUAGCAUCUUUGAAGUUCUUUGGUUCAUCAGACUUGCUUACUGCUGCUAAGAACGCUCGAUGACUAGGAGAAAAUUGCUCAUCAGUAAUGUAAUCAGACAGAGGAUACAAGGAUUUACCUGAGACCGACGACGAAGACUCUAAUGAGGAGGAUGUGGAGACGAAAUAGUGUGUAUUACUAUCAGGAUCAGCGGAAGCAUUGUAGAGCAGAUAAUCACGAAGGGUAACAGAUUGUGUUUUCUCUCGUUGUCCUCGACCUAGAAUCUCAGUAGCUGGAGCAGAAGAUGAGUCUGUAGAGGAGGAUGGCUCUGGUGUUGAGUUCAGGACUUCUUGUAACGGAGCCGCAGGAGUUUCUUCUGAGACAGGAAGUGAUGUCGUUUCUACUGGUGUCACCACAGCUGCUGGAACAGAUUGAUCAGUUUCUUGGUCAGAAGAAUUCAUUUGAACAACAUUACUCCCCCUGUCGUCCAAUGGCAUGAUGAUCCAAUCUUCAUCACUGGCUACUUCGACAGUUGAUGUGAUUGGUGGAGCAGGUUUUGGGUCAGCAAAAGGAAACAGAUCUUCUCGAAACACUAUAUCUCGAGACACAAGGAACUCGUCGCGUUCAAUAUCAAACACUUUCCAGCCUUUCUUGCCAAAGGGGUAACCAACGAACACACAUAACCGACUUCGAGGACCAAAUUUGUCCUUGUCCCGAGAGGCUUUAUGCACAUAACAUGCAGAACCGAAAACCCGCAACAUCUUGUAAUCUGGCUUGACGCCGUGAAGAAUCUCAUAUGGGGAACGGCCUUUGAGAACGGACGACGGGGUUCGAUUUAUUAAAUGAGCAGCUGUGAGUACUGCUUCUCCCCAAAAGCGAAUCGGAAGACUGGCUUGAAACAAGAGAGCUCGAGCAAUAUUUAAAAUGUGCCUGUGUUUCCUCUCGACUCGACCAUUUUGUUGUGGAGUGCUGACACAAGAAGUUUGAUGUACGAUGCCGAGAUCCUUAAAAUAAGACGACAGGACCAUGAACUCUGUCCCAUUAUCACUACGAAUCACUUUUACUGGUUUUUGGAAUUGUUUCUCUGUGUACGCCAGGAAGUUCUUCAAAACACGCUGGACUUCUGAUUUUGCGAGGAGGAGGUAGGUCCAUACGGCCCUGGAAUAAUCGUCUACUAUAGUCAAGAAGUAUACUGCACCGCAAGAGGAGGGAACUCUGUAGGGACCCCACACAUCAACAUGAAUAAGAGAAAAACACUCUGUUGUUUUAUUCAUACUUUCAUAAAAAACUUCACGCGUUUGCUUAGCUCGAAAACAAGUGUCACACGGACUUGAGCUAGCUGAUUUAGAAACAAAAGAUAAAUCUGAAAACACUGAAAACGACGGAUGGCCCAAACGUUGAUGCCACAAGACAGGAUCAGAACCGCCUGCUGCCCGAUGACUCUUAGCUGAAACCAAAUCCGUGAAGUAAUACACACCAUCGCGUUCCUCACCGGCUCCAAUCAGAGUCCUCGAAAAACGGUCCUGCAAAACACAUAUUGUAUCAGUAAAAGUCGCAAAACAAUUUACUUGCUUCAGAAGUUUUGCAACUGAUAUCAAGGUGCAAUUCAGGUCAGGAACAUAGAGCACUCGCUGCAGUUUUAUUGCAUCAGACAAGGAGAAUGUUCCCAUCUUUACAGCAAAUGUUCGGUUCCCAUCAGCAAAGGAGAUUGAACACGGUGGAAUCGACUCCAUGUCCGUCAACAACUCAUGAUUUCCCGUCAUAUGGUGCGAGGCACCGGUAUCUAAAAUGACAUCACCCAAAUGAUUCUUACCGGAUAGCUUGUCAGACGCAGAGUUACCAGCUUUCUCUUGAAUCAUCUGACUGAGCACUUUCCACUGAUCAGUAGUGAGCUCUGGAAACGACGAGUUGGAGCUUGUGGCUUGAGCAACGUUAGCCUGACCACGCCCUCGACUAUUUGUUCCACGUCCUCGACCUCUGUUGCCAGCACCAUUCCCACGACCACCACUGCGAUCAUUAAACCAGUCAGGGAAACCCACUAAUUGCCAACAGUCACGCUUUUCAUGACCUGUACGUCCACAGUGAGAGCAUAUCGAUCGUGCUCGCAUAAUUGAGUUGUCUCCUUUACUUGACGUUGAGUCGUUUGUAGAAUCGCGUUGAGAAGAAUUUGAGUGUUGACGUGCGACGAAGCCAACUGCUUCUGGCUGAUGAUCACGGCCACGUGCAGUCGUUAGUCUUUGUUCUUCUCUCACCAUCUUAUUGUAUAUUUCUCCAAGCGAUGGCAAAGGAUCAAGUCCUAUUACGUUCGUAGAGAUGUUCCCAAAGCGAGAAUCGUCCAAACCCAUUACAAACUGAUGGAUCUUCUCAUGCUCUCUCUCUUUAGCCAUAGCUACAGCAGCUCCACACGUACAUGCAUGAACCGGCUGAUAGACCUGCAACUCUUCCCACAAUGUUGAGAGUUUGCCAAAAUACUCCAAAAUAGAUCGCCCUUCUUGUCGACACGAAGCAAGCUGAGCCUUGAUCUGAUGAACACGAACCGUGUUCCCUACGGAAAACCUCUGUUUCAGGUCUUCCCACAACUGAUACGCAUCAGUGAUAUAUGUGACAGUGGAGCGCACGUUUGGUUCGAUGGACGUUCGAAUCCAGCCCACUAUCAUUGAAUUAACUGUUAACCAAUGAUCGUGAUCAGGGCUCUCCUCAUCUGGUUUCUUCAGAGUUCCUUUGAUGAAACCCAAUUUACGUUUGGCUUGCAGAGCGUUGACCAUCUCCGACGACCAUUCGUUGUAAUUCUCUCCAUUCAACUUGACAGAGGUAAUCACGGCUCCCGGAUUGUCAGAGCCAUACAACAUGUAAGGUGAGCUUGACAUCGCUUCAUCCUUCCUAUGACCACUUACAAUACUUGUAGAAUCAGCCAUGACUCAAAAAAAUGAACAGAAGAUCAGAGUUUGAGGAUCUUCCGCUCUGAUACCAUGUAGAUUUAUGUAUUCAACGUGUGUGUUUAUUAGAGAGCCAAUGGCUGAGUAUAUAUACAACAACGUAACUCAAUCUCAACAAGGAGAUUUGUCCUUAUCUAGCUAAGAACCUGGACUUAUCAACACGUCCGUAAUUAUCCUAACACAUAUUCAAUAUAUAUCCCCAAUAGGAUACAUGACCAAUUUACCAUAUAUAAAAACUUAAAAAAACCCGGUUCAUCCAUGUUGCGAAAAGCUAUUCACGG
This 5335-nucleotide long non-coding RNA is filed under the name Brassica rapa (field mustard). Its description in RNAcentral is "long non-coding RNA (BRAP_LNC000499)". The record is from RNAcentral. Lineage: Eukaryota; Viridiplantae; Streptophyta; Magnoliopsida; Brassicales; Brassicaceae.